GUGUCUCUACUAAUGUAUCCUGCACACUCACUACAUUUCUGGAGGGCAUUUCACACUGAGGAUUUACAGUAGGCUUAUUCAACCAAAAUUUAUCAUCAGGGUACAUCUUCCCUUUUUAAGGUGUGUGUGGUUAUAUUUUCAGAUUUUUUUUUCAGAAUGCUUAUUUAUUCUUGUUCAACUAAUCUCUGCUUUCUUUCAUUCAAUGAGGCAUUAUCGAAUGCAUUGGAACCUGGUAAAAAACAAGGAAGAAUCAGAUGCUGGUUUUUAUUAAAACGUGCUCAUUAUAGGUAAGAUUUUUCUUCUGAAGACUUUACAGCAUUAUCUGGUCUCCUGGGUCCUUCUCAUUUCUCACUCUGGACUUCAAAGCUGCAGGAAUUCUUUGGAUCUGCAAAAGUGGGCAAGAUUUGAGUGGGUUGUUCGGCUGUUGUAGCUAUUCCACUGUCUCCUGCUUAAUCCCUUCUAACUGACUAAGUUUAUCUUUGUUAACUUCAGACUUCUGGAGCAAGGGGUCACCUCCAUCACACUGGAGUUGAUUCUCAGGGAGCUGGUGACAAACUGCCCUGUGGCUGCUGGGGCUGGUGACAGUGCAGCCCUGCACGAUGCUUCUGUGCCCACAUGAGCACAGUUUGAAGUUCCUCAGCAGGCAACCCUUGAGCUGUGGCAGCCAGGAGGGUGUUUUAAGGCAGCCGUCCCCAAACUAUUUGCCACCAGGGACCGGUUGCAUAGAAGACAAUUUUUCCAAAGACCAGGGUAGGGGGGUGGUUUGGGGAUGAAACUGUUCCACAUCAGAUCAUCAGGCAUUAGAUUCUCAUAAGGAGCACACAACCUAGAUCCCUUACAUGCAUAGUUCACAAUAGGAUCGGCUCCUAUGAGAAUCCGAUGCUGCUGCUGAUCUGACAGGAGGUGGAGCUCAGGCAGUAAUGCUUGCUCGCCAGCCACUCACCUCCUGCUGUGCGGCCUGGUUCCUAACAGGCCACAGACCAGUACCAGUCCAGGGGUUGGGGAUCCCUGUUUUAAGGUGUAUAUGGGGAGUAUUAUUGAGUCCAGGUUUCUGCUACCUUGGGAUACAUUUUUAUCUCAUAUUCCAAUUAGAAAUGUUUUUCCACAUCAAAUAAAGCAGAAUUAACACAUUAUAUUGGCACAGUACACACACCCUCUAAAGAGCAUAUCGCAUCCUAGAGCAAGCAGACAGGGGCAGGGCACCAAGGGCACACACAGGUGGCAGGCAGUGGGAACAUGCAGGCGGACGCUGCAGCAGCUUUGGUGUGAAGACUGCAUGGUCUGUGAACAAGGUCACCAAGUGGAGAAGAAUAAUGAUCAUCCUGGCCUCUCAGAACAGCGUGGCACCUGCAGAACGGGAGUGGCCACACCCGGACGCAGGCAGAAGACAAAUCCAGAGCACAGCAGAGCAAACAAGCUCAUCCUCAGCCACACCCAUCAGAGGGUUUUCACCAACUCCCAAUGCUCAGGAAAUCAAUAUCAUAAUCACCUACAUCAGAAGUACAGGUCACAUAGGUGCAUGAAAUGCACAUGCGUGAUAUAAAUUAUUCUUCAAUUAAUUGCAGUAAACUGCAAUUCUUGUUUAAUAGCGGUGCUUUCAGUCAUUCUUAUCAGAUCUUUUUUACUGUCUUUCUAAAGUCCCAGAUUGCAGACUUUUGUAGUAUUGUUAGAAGGAAACGUGUGGGCUAGGCAGAGACUUUCCAAAUACUGCUGUCAAGAUGCAGAUGGCCAGAGUGGCAAGGCCCAGCCAUCCUCACUCGGCUGAAUCUCACAUUAAGAAGGCUUGGCCUGGCACGGUGGCUCAUGCCUGUAAUCCCAGCACUUUGGGAGGCCGAGGUGGGCGGAUCACUUGAGGUCAGGAGUUCAAGACCAGCCUGGCCAACAUGAUGAAACCCUAUCUCUAUAAAAAAUACAAAAUUAGCCAGGUGUGGUGGUGCACGCCUGUAAUCCCAGACACUCGGGAGGCUGAAGCAUGACAGCCGCUUGAACCCCAGAGUGGGAGGUUGCAAUGAGCCAAGAUCAUGCCACUGCAUUCCAUCCUGGGCAACAGAGUGAGACUCCAACUUAAAAAAAAAAAAAGAUGAUAUAUGUUUGCCUGUUCUUGGGACACAUCAUACUUCCAAGUAAAGUCUGAA
RNAcentral lists this long non-coding RNA (2135 nucleotides) under Homo sapiens (human). RNAcentral's name for it is "HSALNT0360068". The record is from RNAcentral. Lineage: Eukaryota; Metazoa; Chordata; Mammalia; Primates; Hominidae.